RNAcentral lists this transfer RNA (71 nucleotides) under Cricetulus griseus (Chinese hamster). It matches the Rfam family "tRNA". From Rfam's summary of the family: Transfer RNA (tRNA) molecules are approximately 80 nucleotides in length. Their secondary structure includes four short double-helical elements and three loops (D, anti-codon, and T loops). Lineage: Eukaryota; Metazoa; Chordata; Mammalia; Rodentia; Cricetidae. The record is from Rfam by way of RNAcentral.
GGGGGUAUAGUUCAGUGGUAGAGGCGUGCUUAGCAUGCACCAGACCCAGGGUUCAAUCCCUGGCACCUCCA